Molecule: transfer RNA, 73 nt
Filed under: Nanobdellota archaeon
Lineage: Archaea; Nanobdellati; Nanobdellota
Description: tRNA-Val
Rfam family: tRNA
About the family: Transfer RNA (tRNA) molecules are approximately 80 nucleotides in length. Their secondary structure includes four short double-helical elements and three loops (D, anti-codon, and T loops). Further hydrogen bonds mediate the characteristic L-shaped molecular structure. tRNAs have two regions of fundamental functional importance: the anti-codon, which is responsible for specific mRNA codon recognition, and the 3' end, to which the tRNAs corresponding amino acid is attached (by aminoacyl-tRNA synthetases). tRNAs cope with the degeneracy of the genetic code in two manners: having more than one tRNA (with a specific anti-codon) for a particular amino acid; and 'wobble' base-pairing, i.e. permitting non-standard base-pairing at the 3rd anti-codon position.
Source: RNAcentral
GGGCCUGUGGUCUAGUGGCUAUGACAUCGCCUCGACACGGCGAAGGUCACCAGUUCAAAUCUGGUCAGGCCCA